GAUCGCGGCGACGCCGGCGGUUCGCUGCCGACGACGUCGCGAGAAGUCCGCUGAACCUUAUCAUUUAGAGGAAGGAGAAGUCGUAACAAGGUUUCCGUAGGUGAACCUGCGGAAGGAUCAUUGCCGAU
This 128-nucleotide ribosomal RNA is filed under the name Prioria balsamifera (agba). Its description in RNAcentral is "partial 18S ribosomal RNA". It matches the Rfam family "Eukaryotic small subunit ribosomal RNA", at positions 1713 to 1831 of the family's 1831-position model. Lineage: Eukaryota; Viridiplantae; Streptophyta; Magnoliopsida; Fabales; Fabaceae. The record is from RNAcentral.